GCUAGGGACCGAACCCAGGGCCUUGCGCUUUCUAGGCAAGCGCUCUACCACUGAGCUAAAUCCCCAACCCCUGUACACUUUUUUUUUUGUACACUUUUUUUUACACCUUGCUUUUUUUCCCCCUUACUUAGAAGGGGGAGUCAAAUGUGAAGUCAUGUGCUACAUGACUUUAGUCCCAGCACUCAGGAGGCAGAGGCAGGCAGAUCUCUGUGCAUUCAAGGCCAGUCAACAUAGAAAGCCAGGACUACAUAGAAAGACCCUGCCUCAAAAGAAAACAAAACAAAACAAUCAAACAAACAAACAAACAA
This 308-nucleotide long non-coding RNA is filed under the name Rattus norvegicus (Norway rat). Its description in RNAcentral is "long non-coding RNA NONRATT027628". The record is from RNAcentral. Lineage: Eukaryota; Metazoa; Chordata; Mammalia; Rodentia; Muridae.